UAAUGCGGGGAGGGAGACUUCACCGAUGCAAGGCAUGGACGGUAAAAAACAAAUGUUUAACGGAGAGGGGAACGCGAGAAUGAGCCUUCCGUAGGUGAACCUGCGGAGGGAUCAUUA
This 117-nucleotide ribosomal RNA is filed under the name Huntiella savannae. RNAcentral's name for it is "partial 18S ribosomal RNA". The record is from RNAcentral. Lineage: Eukaryota; Fungi; Ascomycota; Sordariomycetes; Microascales; Ceratocystidaceae.